UCAGUAGAUAGAGAAGGUCCAAAAAGGCCGUGUUUUGGGUACUGGUCUGAAAAGGCCUUGUCUUGGGUAAUGAUCUAAAAUCGAGGUGGUUUUGGGUAGUGUUCUAAAUGGAGCUGAUUUUGGGUAGUGUUUUAGUGUCGAGGUGGUGUAUGGUAGUGUUGUAUGUGUAUGUGAUUUACGGGGGGAAACAAAAAGUUGCGUUGUUUUAGAUUGAGUAGAAAAUGUUGAUGUUGUGGGUUUAGGUGGGAAGUGGUAAUGUUCGAGGUAUCCCGUGUGGUUGUUGUUGUUUUUUUUUUGGUGAUAUGUUGGAAAAGCAGCCCAGGCGCCCGGGAAAAAA
Molecule: long non-coding RNA, 337 nt
Filed under: Aplysia californica (California sea hare)
Lineage: Eukaryota; Metazoa; Mollusca; Gastropoda; Aplysiida; Aplysiidae
Description: uncharacterized LOC118478272
Source: RNAcentral